CCAUUGGUGGUUCAGUGGUAGAAUUCUCGCCUUCAGUGCAGGAGACCUGGGUUCAAUUCUCAGCCACUGCA
This 71-nucleotide transfer RNA is filed under the name Loxodonta africana (African savanna elephant). It matches the Rfam family "tRNA". From Rfam's summary of the family: Transfer RNA (tRNA) molecules are approximately 80 nucleotides in length. Their secondary structure includes four short double-helical elements and three loops (D, anti-codon, and T loops). The record is from Rfam by way of RNAcentral. Lineage: Eukaryota; Metazoa; Chordata; Mammalia; Proboscidea; Elephantidae.